CCUGCGGGACCGGUCGACGGGGAAGGGGAGGGCGGGGGCGCUCAGCCAAACGACGACGACGACAGGGACCACCUAGUCUCCACUGUAAUCCAGCCCUCUGCGUCUGAUGGCGGCGAGGCCCCGUGCAGGCGACGGCUACCAUGGUAGUUCUUCAACCUCACGAUCGGGAUGGACCACCCCGAAGAGACGUUGGAGGAGGUCGCCGGCCUAGCACGAGAUGCCGGCCGAGCACGAACCGCCGGCUGGGAGAGCACAGCCGCACAGAAGGUCUUUGCAGCGGACGUCCCACCAGCACCAAAGGAGUCGCCGAUACGUGGCCUACAAGCCGGCGAGAGUGGGCCGGAGUCCGCCCAGCGUUGUGCCUUGGAGCGGCCGGCUGGGAGAGACGGCACAACAGCAGCGGACGACGAAGAAAUAGGAUCAGGCGCGCAGGGAGAAGAUGAGAAGGCCGCCGGGAAGGAAACAACGGCCGGGAAGGUGGUCGCCGAGCCCGGGGUGGGCGUCGACGAGAGGCUGUGGGGAGGGCAAGGGGCGGCGCC
This 539-nucleotide unclassified non-coding RNA is filed under the name Zea mays. RNAcentral describes it as "misc RNA Zm00001eb366240". Lineage: Eukaryota; Viridiplantae; Streptophyta; Magnoliopsida; Poales; Poaceae. The record is from RNAcentral.